CUACGGGGCGCAGCAGUGAGGAAUAUUGCACAAUGGGGGGAACCCUGAUGCAGCAACGCCGCGUGGAGGAUGACGCAUUUCGGUGUGUAAACUCCUUUUAUAUGUCGAGAAAAUGACGGUAGCAUAUGAAUAAGCACCGGCUAACUCCGUGCCAGCAGCCGCGGUAAUACGGAGGGUGCAAGCGUUACUCGGAAUCACUGGGCGUAAAGGACGCGUAGGCGGGUUGGAAAGUCAGGUGUGAAAUCCUACAGCUUAACUGUAGAACUGCACUUGAAACUUCUAAUCUAGAGUAUGGGAGGGGGGAAUGGAAUUAGUGGUGUAGGGGUAAAAUCCGUAGAUAUCACUAGGAAUACCUAAAGCGAAGGCGAUCUCCUGGAACAUUACUGACGCUAAGGCGUGAAAGCGUGGGGAGCAAACAGGAUUAGAUACCCUUGUAGUC
RNAcentral lists this ribosomal RNA (439 nucleotides) under uncultured bacterium. RNAcentral's name for it is "partial 16S ribosomal RNA". It matches the Rfam family "Bacterial small subunit ribosomal RNA", at positions 339 to 795 of the family's 1533-position model. The record is from RNAcentral.